RNAcentral lists this ribosomal RNA (263 nucleotides) under Salmonella enterica. RNAcentral's name for it is "partial 23S ribosomal RNA". It matches the Rfam family "Bacterial large subunit ribosomal RNA", at positions 2107 to 2369 of the family's 2925-position model. RNAcentral also lists the same sequence under 1 other name. The record is from RNAcentral. Lineage: Bacteria; Pseudomonadati; Pseudomonadota; Gammaproteobacteria; Enterobacterales; Enterobacteriaceae.
UAGCUUGACACUGAACAUUGAGCCUUGAUGUGUAGGAUAGGUGGGAGGCUUUGAAGUGUGGACGCCAGUCUGCAUGGAGCCGACCUUGAAAUACCACCCUUUAAUGUUUGAUGUUCUAACGUGGACCCGUAAUCCGGGUUGCGGACAGUGUCUGGUGGGUAGUUUGACUGGGGCGGUCUCCUCCUAAAGAGUAACGGAGGAGCACGAAGGUUGGCUAAUCCUGGUCGGACAUCAGGAGGUUAGUGCAAUGGCAUAAGCCAGCU